Molecule: ribosomal RNA, 253 nt
Filed under: uncultured bacterium
Lineage: Bacteria
Description: partial 16S ribosomal RNA
Rfam family: Bacterial small subunit ribosomal RNA
Source: RNAcentral
UACGUAGGGUACAAGCGUUGUCCGGAUUUAUUGGGUUUAAAGGGUGCGUAGGUGGCUUUUUAAGUCAUGGGUGAAAGCCCGCAGCUCAACUGUGGAAUUGCCUGUGAUACUGAGGAGCUUGAGUGCGGUUGAGGCAGCUGGAAUUGGUGGUGUAGCGGUGAAAUGCAUAGAUACCACCAGGAACACCGAUUGCGAAGGCAGGUUGCUAAGCCGUAACUGACACUGAGGCACGAAAGCGUGGGGAGCAAACAGG